Molecule: unclassified non-coding RNA, 209 nt
Filed under: Hevea brasiliensis (rubber tree)
Lineage: Eukaryota; Viridiplantae; Streptophyta; Magnoliopsida; Malpighiales; Euphorbiaceae
Source: RNAcentral
GUGCUUUUGUCCUCUCUGCGUGUUGCUUAGUAGUAUGGGUAAGAAUGAGUUUAAAAAAAUAGCCCUUUUUAGUUCUCGCGCUAUCACUGACUGGUUUUAAAAAUGUCACUAAGAUCUGCUGUGUUGAUAUCACUGUGAGUGUCUGCAUGGUUUAAGAUACCCACCUGAAAAAGCUACCCAAUGUGCUUACUGGGCGUUUUAGACAACUU